GGAUUAGAUACCCUGGUAGUCCACGCCGUAAACGAUGUCAACUAGCCGUUGGGAGGGUUAAACCUCAAAGUGGCGCAGCUAACGCGAUAAGUUGACCGCCUGGGGAGUACGCGCGCAAGCGUAAAACUCAAAGGAAUUGACGGGGGCCCGCACAAGCGGUGGAGCAUGUGGUUUAAUUCGAUGCAACGCGAAGAACCUUACCUGGCCUUGACAUCCUCGGAACUUACUAGAGAUAGUUUGGUGCCUUCGGGAACCGAGUGACAGGUGCUGCAUGGCUGUCGUCAGCUCGUGCCG
RNAcentral lists this ribosomal RNA (294 nucleotides) under uncultured bacterium. RNAcentral's name for it is "partial 16S ribosomal RNA". It matches the Rfam family "Bacterial small subunit ribosomal RNA", at positions 775 to 1067 of the family's 1533-position model. The record is from RNAcentral.